This 495-nucleotide ribosomal RNA is filed under the name uncultured bacterium. RNAcentral describes it as "partial 16S ribosomal RNA". It matches the Rfam family "Bacterial small subunit ribosomal RNA", at positions 28 to 523 of the family's 1533-position model. The record is from RNAcentral.
GAUGAACGCUGGCGGUGUGCUUAACACAUGCAAGUCGAGCGAAGCACUUAUGAAAGAUUCUUCGGAUGAUUUCAUUUGUGACUGAGCGGCGGACGGGUGAGUAACGCGUGGGUAACCUGCCUCAUACAGGGGGAUAACAGUUGGAAACGACUGCUAAUACCGCAUAAGCGCACAGUACCGCAUGGUACCGUGUGAAAAACUCCGGUGGUAUGAGAUGGACCCGCGUCUGAUUAGCUAGUUGGUGGGGUAACGGCCUACCAAGGCGACGAUCAGUAGCCGACCUGAGAGGGUGACCGGCCACAUUGGGACUGAGACACGGCCCAAACUCCUACGGGAGGCAGCAGUGGGGAAUAUUGCACAAUGGGGGAAACCCUGAUGCAGCAACGCCGCGUGAGUGAAGAAGUAUUUCGGUAUGUAAAGCUCUAUCAGCAGGGAAGAAAAUGACGGUACCUGACUAAGAAGCCCCGGCUAACUACGUGCCAGCCGCCGCAGUAA